CCUACGGGAGGCAGCAGUGGGGAAUAUUGGGCAAUGGAGGAAACUCUGACCCAGCGACGCCGCGUGCGGGAUGAAGGCCUUCGGGUUGUAAACCGCUUUCAGCAGGGAAGAAGCGAAAGUGACGGUACCUGCAGAAGAAGCACCGGCUAACUAUGUGCCAGCAGCCGCGGUAAU
RNAcentral lists this ribosomal RNA (174 nucleotides) under uncultured bacterium. Its description in RNAcentral is "partial 16S ribosomal RNA". It matches the Rfam family "Bacterial small subunit ribosomal RNA", at positions 338 to 524 of the family's 1533-position model. The record is from RNAcentral. RNAcentral also lists the same sequence under 2 other names.